This 497-nucleotide ribosomal RNA is filed under the name uncultured bacterium. RNAcentral describes it as "partial 16S ribosomal RNA". It matches the Rfam family "Bacterial small subunit ribosomal RNA", at positions 28 to 507 of the family's 1533-position model. The record is from RNAcentral.
GACGAACGCUGGCGGCGUGCCUAAUACAUGCAAGUUGAGCGAUGAAGCUUGGUGCUUGCACCAAUUUGAAGAGCAGCGAACGGGUGAGUAACGCGUGGGGAAUCUGCCUUUGAGCGGGGGACAACAUUUGGAAACGAAUGCUAAUACCGCAUAACAACUUUAAACAUAAGUUUUAAGUUUGAAAGAUGCAAUUGCAUCACUCAAAGAUGAUCCCGCGUUGUAUUAGCUAGUUGGUGAGGUAAAGGCUCACCAAGGCGAUGAUACAUAGCCGACCUGAGAGGGUGAUCGGCCACCUUGGGACUGAGACCCGGCCCAAACUCCUACGGGAGGCAGCAGUAGGGAAUCUUCGGCAAUGGACGAAAGUCUGACCGAGCAACGCCGCGGGAGUGAAGAAGGUUUUCGGAUCGUAAAACUCUGUUGGUAGAGAAGAACGUUGGUGAGAGUGGAAAGCUCAUCAAGUGACGGUAACUACCCAGAAAGGGACGGCUAACUACGUG